This 429-nucleotide ribosomal RNA is filed under the name Chloroflexota bacterium. RNAcentral's name for it is "Chloroflexi bacterium partial 16S ribosomal RNA". It matches the Rfam family "Bacterial small subunit ribosomal RNA", at positions 355 to 776 of the family's 1533-position model. The record is from RNAcentral. Lineage: Bacteria; Bacillati; Chloroflexota.
UGGGGAAUAUUGCACAAUGGGCGCAAGCCUGAUGCAGCCAUGCUGCGUGUGUGAAGAAGGCCUUCGGGUUGUAAAGCACUUUCAGCGGGGAGGAAGGCGAUAAGGUUAAUAACCUUGUCGAUUGACGUUACCCGCAGAAGAAGCACCGGCUAACUCCGUGCCAGCAGCCGCGGUAAUACGGAGGGUGCAAGCGUUAAUCGGAAUUACUGGGCGUAAAGCGCACGCAGGCGGUCUGUCAAGUCGGAUGUGAAAUCCCCGGGCUCAACCUGGGAACUGCAUUCGAAACUGGCAGGCUAGAGUCUUGUAGAGGGGGGUAGAAUUCCAGGUGUAGCGGUGAAAUGCGUAGAGAUCUGGAGGAAUACCGGUGGCGAAGGCGGCCCCCUGGACAAAGACUGACGCUCAGGUGCGAAAGCGUGGGGAGCAAACAGG